This 483-nucleotide ribosomal RNA is filed under the name uncultured bacterium. Its description in RNAcentral is "bacterial SSU rRNA". It matches the Rfam family "Bacterial small subunit ribosomal RNA", at positions 30 to 507 of the family's 1533-position model. The record is from RNAcentral.
UGAACGCUAGCUACAGGCUUAACACAUGCAAGUCGAGGGGCAGCACAGUGUAGCAAUACACGGGUGGCGACCGGCGCACGGGUGCGUAACGCGUAUCCAACCUUCCCGAUACUCUUGGAUAGCCUUCCGAAAGGGAGAUUAAUACAAGAUGGUGUUUCACUUUCGCAUGUUAUUGAAACUAAAGAUUUAUCGGUAUCGGAUGGGGAUGCGUGACAUUAGAUAGUAGGCGGGGUAACGGCCCACCAUGGCGACGAUGUCUAGGGGUUCUGAGAGGAAGGUCCCCCACACUGGAACUGAGACACGGUCCAGACUCCUACGGGAGGCAGCAGUGAGGAAUAUUGGUCAAUGGUCAGACGACUGAACCAGCCAUGCCGCGUGAAGGUGACGGCCCUAUGGGUCUUAAACUUCUUUUGCAAGGGAGCAAUAAGAGCUACGUGUAGCUUGAUGAGAGUACCUUACGAAUAAGCAUCGGCUAACUCCGUG